GUUCCCUGUGAUGUCUCAUAUCUGACCAUGCUAAUUCUGAAUAUUAUUUGAUUGAGAUUUAUUCUUAUCAGUUUUCUGAGGGAACC
Daucus carota subsp. sativus is the source of this 86-nucleotide non-coding RNA. The record is from Rfam. NCBI's taxonomy places the organism in Eukaryota, Viridiplantae, Streptophyta, Magnoliopsida, Apiales, Apiaceae.